RNAcentral lists this ribosomal RNA (492 nucleotides) under uncultured bacterium. RNAcentral's name for it is "partial 16S ribosomal RNA". It matches the Rfam family "Bacterial small subunit ribosomal RNA", at positions 29 to 507 of the family's 1533-position model. The record is from RNAcentral.
AGUGAACGCUGGCGGUAGGCCUAACACAUGCAAGUCGAACGGCAGCACAGUAAGAGCUUGCUCUUACGGGUGGCGAGUGGCGGACGGGUGAGGAAUACAUCGGAAUCUACUUUUUCGUGGGGGAUAACGUAGGGAAACUUCCGCUAAUACCGCAUACGACCUACGGCUGAAAGCAGGGGAUCUUCGGACCUUGCGCGAUUGAAUGAGCCGAUGUCGGAUUAGCUAGUUGGCGGGGUAAAGGCCCACCAAGGCGACGAUCCGUAGCUGGCCUGAGAGGAUGAUCAGCCACACUGGAACUGAGACACGGUCCAGACUCCUACGGGAGGCAGCAGUGGGGAAUAUUGGACAAUGGGCGCAAGCCUGAUCCAGCCAUACCGCGUGGGUGAAGAAGGCCUUCGGGUUGUAAAGCCCUUUUGUUGGGAAAGAAAAGCAGCAGGUUAAUACCCCGCUGUUCUGACGGUACCCAAAGAAUAAGCACCGGCUAACUUCGUG